Non-coding RNA from Meloidogyne enterolobii, 100 nucleotides. The record is from the annotation of a GenBank genome assembly. NCBI's taxonomy places the organism in Eukaryota, Metazoa, Nematoda, Chromadorea, Rhabditida, Meloidogynidae.
GUCCCGGUAGCUCAGUUGGUAGAGCACAUGUACCAGGAGCAAUAACUGCCUCCUGGCAAUAACUGCCAGGAGGUCGCAGGAUCGAAGCCUGCCCGGGAUU